AGCCUUCUUGACAACAGACUUACCCUCUUCAUCUCCAGACUCCUCCUUCACUGGUUUCUUAGCUUCAGGCUUUUUGGCAGGAGCUUUCUUGGCAACAGGC
Nanorana parkeri is the source of this 100-nucleotide long non-coding RNA. RefSeq lists it as uncharacterized. NCBI's taxonomy places the organism in Eukaryota, Metazoa, Chordata, Amphibia, Anura, Dicroglossidae. The transcript is spliced from 3 exons. The record is from RefSeq and is a predicted model, not a curated record.